RNAcentral lists this ribosomal RNA (1257 nucleotides) under Triticum aestivum (bread wheat). Its description in RNAcentral is "partial small subunit ribosomal RNA". Lineage: Eukaryota; Viridiplantae; Streptophyta; Magnoliopsida; Poales; Poaceae. The record is from RNAcentral.
AUGCCAACUUUCUCGUUUAUCUUCUAUGGGUUUCAUGUGCUGUUUUUUAUCCUUUGCAUUGAUCCUUUUCGACUUGUUUUGGUGCUUUGCGUGUGUGUCUUAGGUGGCGGCUCUCGCCGGGCCAAUCCCGUUCGUGACACUGGUUCCAAGCGUCUGCGCAACCCAGGAGAAGUUCCCGAGGGGUCAUCUGCAUCGAAGCGCAAUGUCAAGACCACCGCUAGCAAGCACAAGGAGCCCGCCAGGGGUAUGGAUGAGAUAGGCGCUCAAGAGUAUGUCCGUCUCAGGCAGCUUCACCCCUAUGUGCACCCACGCUCCACUGUCAGAGGGUGUGAACUGUUCUGGAACAAGACGCAAACCCAGAUCUACUUGGAUGUCAUCAAGAACAAGGUGAAUACCUAUGUGGAGGUGAAGUGGAUUGAUAUGCACCACAUGAGGAAGGACAAGUUUCGUGACUACUUUGGGGAGGCUCUGGACUUGGUGGAGCAGUUUGGAAUUGAGCAUGUGAUCUCUUUCCACAUGGACUAUGACCCUGAGAUCAUCUGUCAGUUCUUUGCCUCAGUUUUCUUUCACACCAAUGAUGAAAGGAGGAUGACUUGGAUGACCAAUGGCCGCCAGCUGUCUGCUACCUGGAAGGAGUUCAUGGAUUUGCUUCACGUUGCUGAUGAUGGACUUGACACUCCCGUUGGGGUUCGCCCUCACGGCAAUGCUGACUCUGCUGACAAGGACAAGCUCACCCCGUUCUUGGUUGAGAAGACGCUCGCUACUGGCAAGAUAAUCUCGGUUCUCAACCCCUUUCUGGAUAUCAUGUACCGCAUCUUCCGCAACUCCUUGUUCCCACGCAUCGGUGACAAAGACAAGGUUCAUGCCUACAUGGUGGACAUGAUGCUUAUGUGCCAGGAGGCUCGCUCGUCUCAGACUCAGCCACUUGAUGUCUCUCACAUCAUGUGGUGUGAGCUUCGGUUUGCUGUGUUCAAUCGCAAGGUGCCUAUUUAUGGGCCCUACCUGUUUCUGCUGAUUUCGAAGACUUGGGAGAAGAUGUACCCUGAGGAGGAGUUCCUGGCUCCAGUCUGGAUUCGCCAUGAGCCCAUUUGUCUGAGGGUCAAACCCAACUGGGCUAACACCGCUACUCGUGCUGAGGCAUCUGCUGCGAGGGCUGCUGCUGUCGAUGAGGAUGUUGCUGGCGCUGAGGAUGUUGCUGGGGGCCGCUCUGCUAGGCCCUCUCAAGUGACUCUAGGCCAUCUUGGGCCAAGAAGUUGA